Molecule: unclassified non-coding RNA, 315 nt
Filed under: Hevea brasiliensis (rubber tree)
Lineage: Eukaryota; Viridiplantae; Streptophyta; Magnoliopsida; Malpighiales; Euphorbiaceae
Source: RNAcentral
GGUGAAUUCAUAUGAUGGAAAGAUUAGAGUCUUUUUGCACGCAGGUCAAACGUUUCCAAAUGAAAAUUAUAAAUAUGUUGAUGUUAGAGAUGUAGCAUAUGCACAUAUUCUAGCUUUUGAAAGACCUUCAGCCAGUGGCGGAUACUGUGCAGUUGGACGAGUUGCACACAUCUCUGAGUUCUUGAAGAUUUUGCACGAACAAUAUCCUACAUUACAGCUUCCUCAAAAAUGCGCAGAUGACAAGCUUUUUGUGCCAAAAUAUGAAGUAUCCAAUGAGAAAGCAAAAGCUUAGGGUCUUAACUUCACUCCAUUGGA